GACGAACGCUGGCGGCGUGCCUAAUACAUGCAAGUAGAACGCUGAAGAGAGGAGCUUGCUCUUCUUGGAUGAGUUGCGAACGGGUGAGUAACGCGUAGGUAACCUGCCUUGUAGCGGGGGAUAACUAUUGGAAACGAUAGCUAAUACCGCAUAACAAUGGAUGACACAUGUCAUUUAUUUGAAAGGGGCAAUUGCUCCACUACAAGAUGGACCUGCGUUGUAUUAGCUAGUAGGUGAGGUAAUGGCUCACCUAGGCGACGAUACAUAGCCGACCUGAGAGGGUGAUCGGCCACACUGGGACUGAGACACGGCCCAGACUCCUACGGGGAGCAGCAGUAGGGAAUCUUCGGCAAUGGGGGCAACCCUGACCGAGCAACGCCGCGUGAGUGAAGAAGGUUUUCGGAUCGUAAAGCUCUGUUGUAAGUCAAGAACGGGUGUGAGAGUGGAAUGUUCACACUGUGACGGUAGCUUACCAGAAAGGGACGGCUAACUACGUG
This 497-nucleotide ribosomal RNA is filed under the name uncultured bacterium. Its description in RNAcentral is "partial 16S ribosomal RNA". It matches the Rfam family "Bacterial small subunit ribosomal RNA", at positions 28 to 507 of the family's 1533-position model. The record is from RNAcentral.